Pelobates cultripes (western spadefoot toad) is the source of this 797-nucleotide non-coding RNA. NCBI's taxonomy places the organism in Eukaryota, Metazoa, Chordata, Amphibia, Anura, Pelobatidae. The record is from the annotation of a GenBank genome assembly.
CAGUUGUUAUGCCUUUAAUCUCAUUGUCACAAUCUCACCAGUAGCCCCAUCACAAUAAGUAAAAAUGACAGACAAGUGCAAAUCUUAAUUAUUUAAAAUAUCUUUUAAUAAGUUAUAUUUUACACAGAUUUUAGAAUACAUUUCUCAGGAUAUCACCUAUUUUUCAGUUCACAUUCCUGUGUUGAAACAUAUUUUACUGUAAACGCUCUUUAUAAAAAAAUUAAAUUGAUGUAACAAUAUAACAAGCGGAAAGCGAAGUAAAUGAUAAAGGGACCAACAUAUAGAAACAGUUGGAGUGAAAGAAUCCAAUAUGUAUUUCAAAUCGUAAACUGGUACAAGGGGGCCACAAUGUGUUCCUCCCAAAGAAUGUGUAUUGUAUAAUGUUACUAGAAUUGGAAAACAUGUUGCCAAGUCAAGAUUAGUUAUAAAUUGGACUCUCAGAGAGAGUGCAUUGCAAUCUCAAUAUCACUAAUAGAGUGUUGUGAAUAGGACCAGCAUGCAUUUAAAAUUGAGAAUAAUUAAAAAAUAAUGGCUAAUUGCACCAGAAUGCAUUGUACUCUCAGAAUCACUAAUCUAUUGUAGAUAAGGGGACCAACAAGCAUUGCAACCCAAGUGUCACUAAAACAUUCUGGCUGAUAAUACCAUAGCACAUUGCAAACUCAGAGUAAGUAAUAGAUUGUGGGUGAUGGAGACUGAAUAGAUUGCAAAUUUCACUUCUAGUAAACAGGAUUACGGACUCCUUGACAUUACUUCCCAAAGGAGAAGCCACUUUGGCAGCAAUCUGAGCUCUUCUUACA